GACGAACGCUGGCGGCGUGCUUAACACAUGCAAGUCGAACGAUGAAGCCGCUUCGGUGGUGGAUUAGUGGCGAACGGGUGAGUAACACGUGGGCAAUCUGCCCUGCACUCUGGGACAAGCCCUGGAAACGGGGUCUAAUACCGGAUAUGACACGGGAUCGCAUGGUCUCCGUGUGGAAAGCUCCGGCGGUGCAGGAUGAGCCCGCGGCCUAUCAGCUUGUUGGUGGGGUGAUGGCCUACCAAGGCGACGACGGGUAGCCGGCCUGAGAGGGCGACCGGCCACACUGGGACUGAGACACGGCCCAGACUCCUACGGGAGGCAGCAGUGGGGAAUAUUGCACAAUGGGCGCAAGCCUGAUGCAGCGACGCCGCGUGAGGGAUGACGGCCUUCGGGUUGUAAACCUCUUUCAGCAGGGAAGAAGCGCGAGUGACGGUACCUGCAGAAGAAGCACCGGCUAACUAC
Molecule: ribosomal RNA, 462 nt
Filed under: uncultured Actinomycetes bacterium
Lineage: Bacteria; Bacillati; Actinomycetota; Actinomycetes
Description: bacterial SSU rRNA
Rfam family: Bacterial small subunit ribosomal RNA
Source: RNAcentral